RNAcentral lists this ribosomal RNA (253 nucleotides) under uncultured bacterium. Its description in RNAcentral is "partial 16S ribosomal RNA". It matches the Rfam family "Bacterial small subunit ribosomal RNA", at positions 524 to 776 of the family's 1533-position model. The record is from RNAcentral.
UACGUAGGGGGCAAGCGUUGUCCGGAUUUAUUGGGCGUAAAGAGCGUGUAGGCGGCCUGGAAGGUCAGCUGUGAAAACUCGAGGCUCAACCUCGAGACGUCGGUUGAAACCACCUGGCUAGAGUCCGGAAGAGGAGUGUGGAAUUCCCGGUGUAGCGGUGAAAUGCGCAGAUAUCGGGAGGAACACCGGUGGCGAAGGCGGGUCUCUGGGCAGUAACUGACGCUGAGGAGCGAAAGCGUGGGGAGCGAACAGG